GACGAACGCUGGCGGCGUGCUUAACACAUGCAAGUCGAACGGAAAGGCCCUGCUUUUGUGGGGUGCUCGAGUGGCGAACGGGUGAGUAACACGUGAGUAACCUGCCCUUGACUUUGGGAUAACUUCAGGAAACUGGGGCUAAUACCGGAUAGGAGCUCCUGCUGCAUGGUGGGGGUUGGAAAGUUUCGGCGGUUGGGGAUGGACUCGCGGCUUAUCAGCUUGUUGGUGGGGUAGUGGCUUACCAAGGCUUUGACGGGUAGCCGGCCCGAGAGGGUGACCGGCCACAUUGGGACUGAGAUACGGCCCAGACUCCUACGGGAGGCGGCAGUGGGGAAUAUUGCACAAUGGGCGGAAGCCUGAUGCAGCAACGCCGCGUGCGGGAUGACGGCCUUCGGGUUGUAAACCGCUUUCGCCUGUGACGAAGCGUGAGUGACGGUAAUGGGUAAAGAAGCACCGGCUAACUACGUG
Molecule: ribosomal RNA, 468 nt
Filed under: uncultured bacterium
Lineage: Bacteria
Description: partial 16S ribosomal RNA
Rfam family: Bacterial small subunit ribosomal RNA
Source: RNAcentral